UCGGGAAUUUUGCGCAAUGGGCGAAAGCCUGACGCAGCGACGCCGCGUGGAGGAUGAAGGCCCUUGGGUUGUAAACUCCUGUCAGGUGGGAAGAAAGAUCUUCGGUAAACAGCCGAGGGUUCUGACUGUACCACCGGAGGAAGCCCCGGCUAACUCUGUGCCAGCAGCCGCGGUAAUACAGAGGGGGCAAGCGUUGUUCGGAAUUAUUGGGCGUAAAGGGCGCGUAGGCGGCCAUCCAAGUCGGGUGUGAAAUCCCUCGGCUCAACCGAGGAACUGCACUCGAUACUGGUUGGCUCGAGUCCGGGAGGGGAUGGUGGAAUUCCCAGUGUAGCGGUGAAAUGCGUAGAUAUUGGGAAGAACACCGGUGGCGAAGGCGACCAUCUGGACCGGAACUGACGCUGAGGCGCGAAAGCCAGGGGAGCGAA
RNAcentral lists this ribosomal RNA (425 nucleotides) under uncultured bacterium. Its description in RNAcentral is "bacterial SSU rRNA". It matches the Rfam family "Bacterial small subunit ribosomal RNA", at positions 355 to 772 of the family's 1533-position model. The record is from RNAcentral.